RNAcentral lists this long non-coding RNA (5366 nucleotides) under Nicotiana benthamiana. RNAcentral's name for it is "long non-coding RNA (NBEN_LNC025293)". Lineage: Eukaryota; Viridiplantae; Streptophyta; Magnoliopsida; Solanales; Solanaceae. The record is from RNAcentral.
AAGAUGAUACUUGGGAAGCCUGGCUAAAUGCUGAUGCAUCUGGUUUGUCUAGUGCUAUGGGAUUUGGGGGGAAUGGCGUUAAGUUAAGGCGUGGAUAUGCUCCUCCUCAGUCAUCGAAACCAACACAGGCACUCAUUUACACACUAUCAAGUUCACUACUGUUGGUUCUCUUUGUGCUGAUACCAAGUUUACCUAUGUUCUCAUUCUUCUCUUUUUUAAGUGGCCACAGUGGGGGAGGAGUAGCGUGAAAGACUUAAAUUGUACUACUGUUGGUUCUCUUUGUUCUGAUAUCAAGUUUACCGAUGUUGGUUUCCUUUGUUACUGAUGAUCUUAUGGUGUUCAGUCUCACUGCAUCUUCUCUUUUUUAAGUGGCCACGGUGGGGGAGGAGUAGCAUGUGAUAAGAAUGGACCUUGGGCCUAACUCAACCCCAAAAGCUAGCUUAUGAGGUGAGGAUUGCCCAAGCCAUAUAAGGAGACCAAGAACCUCAAAUCCCUCCGAUGUGGGACAACUCAACAGCAUGAAAGACUUAAAUUGUUUGAUAAAAAUGCUAUAAAAGGAAGAGAGAAAAUGUCUUUGCUUUCCCCUCCAGUUAAAACUGGAAAAUAAAAAAGAAAGUAAAAAAUAAAAAAGUUCAAGUGAAAUAUCUAGUAUUUGGGAAAAUUUGGGUUGGGACUGCAUGCAUGUAGACUUGAUCACUUGGUUCAUAAAAUGUUAUAUUCCAACUAUGCUGGAAAAUUCAAAUAAGUGUCGUGAAGCUUGUACCAGCUUUCUGAUUGCAAAAAGCUGCGGGCUUGGAAAUUGCAGAAGCUAAGUUAGUAGGAGGAGGUAAGUCAUGCUAAUAUCCUCCUUUGUGGGUCUUCUUGUUUUAUCUGUCGAUUGUGAGAAAAUGAUAAAAGAGAGCUUGUAUUGAAUUAAUUAUGUAAGCCAUACAGAAGGGCUCCUUGCAUAGGAGUUUACACUUUAGGACUAAGAAAAGUUUAUAAUGUUGUAUAUUAUAACAGAGAAAUUAAUUAAAUAAGGCAUACUUAAUUUGAGCUUUCUACUUAUGAUAGGAGUAAGAAAAUUUAUAAUAUUGUAAUUAAAGAGAAGGUAAUUAAAUAAAGAAUAUUUGAAUACUGAGAGUUCUCCUUAUGAUAGGGUUGACAAGAAUGUUAGAUAUUAUUAACCUGAACACAUGAAACAUCUAGAAAAUUUUAACAUAUACAUCACCAUUUCGUUUUAUCUGACCCUUGUUUGAUUGGGUAUGGAGUUUAAGAAAGAAAAGAACUUAAACAUGCCAUAACAUUUGUGUUGCUAUAAGACUGUUGAACCUUACAACAACAACAACAACAACAACUACCCAGUAUACUCCCACCAGGUGGGGUCUGGGGANNNNNNNNNNNNNNNNNNNNNNNNNNNNNNNNNNNNNNNNNNNNNNNNACCAGGUGGGGUCUGGGGAGGGUAAUAUGUAGACGAGCCUUACCCCUGUCCGAAAGGGCAGAGAGGCUGCUUCCAAUCGACCCUCGGCGAGUAGAAAAACUGUUGAAGACUGGUGAACCUUGUGGUUUUAAAUAUAACAUUACAUUUGUUUGGCUAUAAUGCUUGUCAUUAAUGGUAAAAGGGGAAGUGUAGUUAAAUUGUUUCUAAAUGUAGAGGGGUCAUUCUUUUUGGAAGAGAGUAAUAAACUGAAGAGGAAAUAGUGUUACAUAAACUGGCUAUAAUGCUUGUCAUUAAGGGUAAAAGGGCAAGUGUAAGUAAAUUGUUUCUAAAUGUAGAGUGGUCAUUCUUUUUGGAAGAGAGUAAUAAAUUGAAGAGGAAAUAGUGUUACAUAAACUGGAACAGAGGGAGUAGUUGAUUCGAUUUCUUGACUUCUAAUACUCCCUCUAAAACUUGAGAUAAUUAAACAACUUGAGUUUGCGAAUCAAAACUAAAAAGUGGAGUCGAGUAUGACAAGAGGAGCAACUGUUUGAAGAUGUGGCGCGUGUGAUUAGACAAUGAUAUGACGACUGAUUGGAUAGUUGCGUGGCCAUUGUUGAAUUGAGCGAUCAGUGCAUCUGAAAGUUUUAGCUAUUAGAGAGAAUUUUAAUUGAUUUAUUUUAUGUUUAAACUGCCCCAUCAUACGGUGCGUGAUUCUUUUUAUUGGGCCAAGCACUUGAGAAUAUUUUCUUUUGCUGUUUAUGGUUGACACUCUCUCUAAUAGCUUAAGUUCUUAGAUGAGUUGGUCACAUAAUUCAAUGUGGUACCAACAAAAUAGAGGUUCCUGAAUUCAGUUCUUAUUUGUCCCCAUUGACAAAAUAUUACGAGCUGCUUGACCCAAUAGAAAGAAUAGGGUCUGAUGUAAGUGGGUGUGUUAUAGACGUGAAAUAAGUAAUAGAAGUGUCCUUUUAAGAACAAUUAAAUGGAUAGUGACAUGGCACUGAAUGGCUGUUGCGUCUAAGGUGACACUGACUAGACGAUGGUGUGUUGUUGAAUGGCAGCACUACGCUGACUAAAACAAAUAUGGAUUAAUCAACUUGACAGGUUAACGGGUUCAGACAACUAACUUGUCUUGACAGGUUAGCUGUUGGUGUUACUUGAUAGGUUGGCUGUUGCGUCUAAGGUGACACUGACUAGACGAUGGUGUGUUGUUGAAUGGCAGCACUACGCUGACUAAAACAAAUAUGGAUUAAUCAACUUGACAGGUUAACGGGUUCAGACAACUAACUUGUCUUGACAGGUUAGCUGUUGGUGUUACUUGAUAGGUUGGCUGACAUAGAUGGAUAAAUCAACCCUAGACAUAUUUGCAAUACGCUGCCAUAAAUUUAGGACGGCGCAGUGGUUAGAGAACACCAGAACAAUGAUGGGGAUGCUAGAGUCAUCAUUGGUAAGAAGAGUAGUGUCACUCAAAUGGUCAUACAAAUUAGGUGACACUACUAAAUUUGUGGAGCGAUUGAGAGUUUUUUAGCAGGGUAGGCAGAACAGCUUAAGCCUCUCUCAAAUUGUAGAGGCCCUGAUAUAUUUUGAAGUAUAAGAGAAUAAAAGAGAGUACUUUCAUAGAGUUGAUUGUUAACAACAUACACGGGGCUUUUUAUACAGAAGUUUAGGCUAUUAAAGAUGAGGAUUUUUUUUUUCAAAUAUCGGGGUACCUAAUUAUCACAAUAGUUGUUUUGAUGGGGGAAAAAGAUCCUAUUACUACUUAUAUGAAAUACAGAUGUAUUUAAAACUGUAGUAUUUUGGUUGAAUGAAUUUUUGGUAAUUUUCAUAACAGAUACCCUGGACUUGUUGGGCUCCCUUAUUUUGUUUAAACAAGUCCAGAUUUUUGUGCUGUUUUUGGUAUCUUCUUGGUACUGUUAUUGCAGACAAAAUUACAAAUACUUCACCGUAUCAAAUAAAAGAUACAUCACAAUUCAGAUGAAUAUCCUAUAGUAUUAACCUAUAUGCAUAGACUGAUUCUAGAACCAACAUAUACUUAUAGGCUACAACAUUCUCUUGACUUCCAACUUCCAACCGAGAGGUUGGCUACAACCCCUCUCUUGACAAGAGCGGUUGCUCUGAUGGUAAGCAACCCCCACUUCCAACCGAGAGGUUGUGAGUUCGNNNNNNNNNNNNNNNNNNNNNNNNNNNNNNNNNNNNNNNNNNNNNNNNNNNNNNNNNNNNNNNNNNNNNNNNNNNNNNNNNNNCCCCCACUUCCAAUCGAGAGGUUGUGAGUUCGAGUCUCCCCAAGAGCAAGGUGGGAAGUUCUUGGAGGGAAGGAUGCCGGGGGUCUAUUUGGGAACAUCCUCUCUACCCAAGGGUAGGGGUAAGGUCUGCGUACAUACUACCAUCCCCAGACCCACUAAGUGGGAUUAUACUGGGUUGUUGUUGUUGUUGUUGUUGUUAUUCUCUUGACUUCCGUUGGCUUGUACUACUAAAUUAGUUGCUAAGAGGUUUUUAAGGAAGGAAUAAUUAUUUGCUGGUUCAAGUGAGGAGUUAGAGAAAGGUUGACAAGCUUUAAAGAAAUUAUACACAUACAUGAACAAUAAUCCGGUCAGUCGUCUGUUUAGCUUUUGGAUAGUGAGGAUUUAUGGCAUGCCACAACUAGCUUGGGAUUGAGAUUAUUGUUGUAUAUUGCUUUUGGAUCAAUUAUUCUACUAAAAAGCCUUCACUAUGACAUGCAUAUGCUAAAGUUUUAUUAUCUGGAAAAGAGAUUUGCUUUUUCCUUUUAGUAGGUAUUGUUCAUGUGUUCUUCAGUGCUAUCCUUGAUAAGAAAUUGUUUAUGAGCCUUUUGUGCUAAGUUCGUUAAGAGUGCACACUGACUUUGGUGCACAGGGGGGAUAUUUAGGAUUUAAUCUAUUUUCUCUUGUUCCUAACUGCUGAAAUUGCACUCCUCAUGCAUCUGUUUCUUUUAGGACGAAUUACGUCAACAAAAGGAGGAAGAAAUGGAUGAUUACUGCUCACAGGUAGUCCAAAUGCUUCCUGUUCACCAUAUAAGUGUAUGUGUUGUGAUUAUGUAACUCAUCAAGCAAAUGGCAUAUAAACUAAGGAAUACCUGUCUUGACCUUAGAAUAUUAACCUAUCAUGUAGGCUUGUAUUAGUUGUUCUUGAUUGAGAAAGUAGAUAUGAAAGGCAUCAAAAGUACUAAGUUAAUGUACUUGGUACUUUGAAAAUUGGUAAGAUUCUUAUGGUUUGGCAGGUUUUGCCCCUCUAAACUAAAUUGCGACCUGUCAAUUCGGUUUGCAGGAUCAAGAAAAUAACUAAUUUUAAAUGUUAACCUCACUCAGUGAACUGUAAAUACUCCGUUCUAUUAUAUUAGACUAUGCUGUGAGUGAAGUAAAUGAGUCUUCUUUCACUACUUUUCUUAAAUUAUUACGAAAUAACCACAAUGUGGCGUUUUAAACUAUAAACUUAUUCGAAAUCAUGUCAGGAAAUACAAUAACAAGUGUAUUAUGUACUUGACCAGCAUAAAUAGACGGUUAGUUUCUUUUGACUGUUGUGUGCAUAUUUUGCGACAUUCUUUUUCUAAAUAUAAAAGGAUAAUAAAAUCAGGACAUAAGGAGCUAUACUACAUAUUUUGUGGAAGGGAGCCUUGGCGUAACUGGUAAAGGUGCUGCCAUGUGACCACGAGGUCACGGGUUCGAACCGUGAAUACAACCUCUUGCAGAAAUGCAGGGUAAGGCUGCAUACGAUAGACCUUUGUGGUCCGGCCCUUCCCCGGAUCCCGCGCAUAACGGGAGCUUAGUGCACCGGGCUGCCCUACUACAUUUAUUUUGUAGGACCUCUGAAACUGAAAUUGCUUUUCUUUACCGGUUAGCACUUAGAUAACAAGUUUGGAAAUUACCUUUUUUGUUGUCCUUACUAAUCUUUAAGUUUGUGUGAACUUCUUGGAAUAUUUUACCUUGCUAGACUCUUAUGUUAGACCCACUCAUGG